RNAcentral lists this ribosomal RNA (199 nucleotides) under uncultured Bacillaceae bacterium. RNAcentral describes it as "partial 16S ribosomal RNA". It matches the Rfam family "Bacterial small subunit ribosomal RNA", at positions 335 to 524 of the family's 1533-position model. Lineage: Bacteria; Bacillati; Bacillota; Bacilli; Caryophanales; Bacillaceae. The record is from RNAcentral.
ACUCCUACGGGAGGCAGCAGUAGGGAAUCUUCCGCAAUGGACGAAAGUCUGACGAAGCAACGCCGCGUGAGCGAAGAAGGCCUUCGGGUCGUAAAGCUCUGUUGUUAGGGAAGAACAAGUAUCGGAGUAAACUGCCGGUACCUUGACGGUACCUAACCAGAAAGCCACGGCUAACUAUCGUGCCAGCAGCCGCGGUAAU